GAUGAACGCUGGCGGCGUGCCUAAUACAUGCCAGUCGAGCGAACGGACGAGAAGCUUGCUUCUCUGAUGUUAGCGGCGGACGGGUGAGUAACACGUGGAUAACCUACCUAUAAGACUGGGAUAACUUCGGGAAACCGGAGCUAAUACCGGAUGAUAUUUUGAACCGCAUGGUUCAAAAGUGAAAGACGGUCUUGCUGUCACUUAUAGAUGGAACCGCGCUGCAUUAGCUAGUUGGUAAGGUAACGGCUUACCAAGGCAACGAUGCAUAGCCGACCUGAGAGGGUGAUCGGCCACACUGGAACUGAGACACGGUCCAGACUCCUACGGGAGGCAGCAGUAGGGAAUCUUCCGCAAUGGGCGAAAGCCUGACGGAGCAACGCCGCGUGAGUGAUGAAGGUCUUCGGAUCGUAAAACUCUGUUAUUAGGGAAGAACAUAUGUGUAAGUAACUGUGCACAUCUUGACGGUACCUAAUCAGAAAGCCACGGCUAACUACGUG
This 497-nucleotide ribosomal RNA is filed under the name uncultured bacterium. RNAcentral describes it as "partial 16S ribosomal RNA". It matches the Rfam family "Bacterial small subunit ribosomal RNA", at positions 28 to 507 of the family's 1533-position model. The record is from RNAcentral.